RNAcentral lists this ribosomal RNA (286 nucleotides) under uncultured soil bacterium. RNAcentral's name for it is "partial 16S ribosomal RNA". It matches the Rfam family "Bacterial small subunit ribosomal RNA", at positions 26 to 313 of the family's 1533-position model. The record is from RNAcentral.
AGGACGAACGCUGGCGGCGUGCUUAACACAUGCAAGUCGAACGGAAAGGCCCUGCUUUUGUGGGGUGCUCGAGUGGCGAACGGGUGAGUAACACGUGAGUAACCUGCCCUUGACUUUGGGAUAACUUCAGGAAACUGGGGCUAAUACCGGAUAGGAGCUCCUGCUGCAUGGUGGGGGUUGGAAAGUUUCGGCGGUUGGGAUGGACUCGCGGCUUAUCAGCUUGUUGGUGGGUAGUGGCUUACCAAGGCUUUGACGGGUAGCCGGCCUGAGGGGUGACCGGCGACGA